UUCCGGUUGAUCCCGCCGGAGGUUACUGCUAUCGAGGUUCGACUAAGCCAUGCGAGUCGAAUGUAGCAAUACAUGGCGAACUGCUCAGUAACACGUGGACAACCUGCCCUUAGGUUGGGUAUAAACCCGGGAAACUGGGUAUAAUACCCGAUAGGUCUCGAUUGCUGGAAUGCAUCGAGAUUUAAAGCUCCGGCGCCUAAGGAUGGGUCUGCGGCCUAUCAGGUAGUAGUGGGUGUAGCGUACCUACUAGCCUACGACGGGUACGGGUUGUGAGAGCAAGAGCCCGGAGAUGGAUUCUGAGGCACGAAUCCAGGCCCUACGGGGUGCAGCAGGCGCGAAAACUUUACAAUGCUGGCAACAGCGAUAAGGGAACCUCGAGUGCCAGGUUACAAAUCUGGCUGUCGAGAUGCCUAAAAAGCAUUUCAUAGCAAGGGCCGGGCAAGACCGGUGCCAGCCGCCGCGGUAACACCGGCGGCUCGAGUGGUAACCGUUAUUAUUGGGUCUAAAGGGUCUGUAGCCGGCCGGAUAAGUCUCUUGAGAAAUCUGGCAGCUUAACUGUCAGGCUUUCAGGAGAUACUGUCUGGCUCGAGGCCGGGAGAGGUGAGAGGUACUUCAGGGGUAGGGGUGAAAUCUUGUAAUCCUUGAAGGACCACCAGUGGCGAAGGCGUCUCACCAGAACGGACCUGACGGCAAGGGACGAAAGCUAGGGGCACGAACCGGAUUAGAUACCCGGGUAGUCCUAGCCGUAAACGAUACUCGCUAGGUGUCGGCCACGGUGCGACCGUUGUCGGUGCCGUAGGGAAGCCGUGAAGCGAGCCACCUGGGAAGUACGGCCGCAAGGCUGAAACUUAAAGGAAUUGGCGGGGGAGCACCACAACGGGUGGAGCUUGCGGUUUAAUUGGAUUCAACGCCGGG
RNAcentral lists this ribosomal RNA (915 nucleotides) under uncultured Methanosaeta sp. RNAcentral describes it as "bacterial SSU rRNA". It matches the Rfam family "Archaeal small subunit ribosomal RNA", at positions 1 to 922 of the family's 1478-position model. The record is from RNAcentral. Lineage: Archaea; Methanobacteriati; Methanobacteriota; Methanomicrobia; Methanotrichales; Methanotrichaceae.